GGGGGAAGGACUUCCGCAUGGACGAAGUCUGACGGAGCAACGCCGCGUGAGUGAUGAAGGUUUUCGGAUCGUAAAGCUCUGUUGUUAGGGAAGAACAAGUGCAAGAGUAACUGCUUGCACCUUGACGGUACCUAACCAGAAAGCCACGGCUAACUACGUGCCAGCAGCCGCGGUAAUACGUAGGUGGCAAGCGUUGUCCGGAAUUAUUGGGCGUAAAGGGCUCGCAGGCGGUUUCUUAAGUCUGAUGUGAAAGCCCCCGGCUCAACCGGGGAGGGUCAUUGGAAACUGGGAAACUUGAGUGCAGAAGAGGAGAGUGGAAUUCCACGUGUAGCGGUGAAAUGCGUAGAGAUGUGGAGGAACACCAGUGGCGAAGGCGACUCUCUGGUCUGUAACUGACGCUGAGGAGCGAAAGCGUGGGGAGCGAACAGGAUUAGAUACCCUGGUAGUCCACGCCGUAAACGAUGAGUGCUAAGUGUUAGGGGGUUUCCGCCCCUUAGUGCUGCAGCUAACGCAUUAAGCACUCCGCCUGGGGAGUACGGUCGCAAGACUGAAACUCAAAGGAAUUGACGGGGGCCCGCACAAGCGGUGGAGCAUGUGGUUUAAUUCGAAGCAACGCGAAGAACCUUA
RNAcentral lists this ribosomal RNA (627 nucleotides) under Bacillus stratosphericus. RNAcentral describes it as "bacterial SSU rRNA". It matches the Rfam family "Bacterial small subunit ribosomal RNA", at positions 353 to 973 of the family's 1533-position model. Lineage: Bacteria; Bacillati; Bacillota; Bacilli; Caryophanales; Bacillaceae. The record is from RNAcentral.